Molecule: long non-coding RNA, 1041 nt
Filed under: Homo sapiens (human)
Lineage: Eukaryota; Metazoa; Chordata; Mammalia; Primates; Hominidae
Description: non-protein coding lnc-RASSF8-2:1
Source: RNAcentral
GGCAGGUGGAGCUGCCCGCAUCAGCGGCCUCGGGGAAUGGAAGCGGAGAACGCGGGCAGCUACUCCCUUCAGCAAGCUCAAGCUUUUUAUACGUUUCCAUUUCAACAACUGAUGGCUGAAGCUCCUAAUAUGGCAGUUGUGAAUGAACAGCAAAUGCCAGAAGAAGUUCCAGCCCCAGCUCCUGCUCAGGAACCAGUGCAAGAGGCUCCAAAAGGAAGAAAAAGAAAACCCAGAACAACAGAACCAAAACAACCAGUGGAACCCAAAAAACCUGUUGAGUCAAAAAAAUCUAGCAAGUCUGCAAAAUCAAAAGAAAAGCAAGAAAAAUUACAGACACAUUUAAAGUCAAAAGAAAAGUAGACCGUUUUAAUGGUGUUUCAGAAGCUGAACUUCUGACCAAGACUCUCCCCGAUAUUUUGACCUUCAAUCUGGACAUUGUCAUUAUUGGCAUAAACCCGGGUCUAAUGGCUGCUUACAAAGGGCAUCAUUACCCUGGACCUGGAAACCAUUUUUGGAAGUGUUUGUUUAUGUCAGGGCUCAGUGAGGUCCAGGUGAACCAUAUGGAUGAUCACACUCUACCAGGGAAGUAUGGUAUUGGAUUUACCAACAUGGUGGAAAGGACCACGCCUGGCAGCAAAGAUCUCUCCAGUAAAGAAUUUCGUGAAGGAGGACGUAUUCUAGUACAGAAAUUAUAGAAAUAUCAGCCACGAAUAGCAGUGUUUAAUGGAAAAUGUAUUUAUGAAAUUUUUAGUAAAGAAGUUUUUGGUGUAAAGGUUAAGAACUUGGAAUUUGGGCUUCAGCCCCAUAAGAUUCCAGGCACAGAAACUCUCUGCUAUGUUAUGCCGUCAUCCAGUGCAAGAAGUGCUCAGUUUCCUCGGGCCCAAGACAAAGUUCAUUACUACAUAAAACUGAAAGACUUAAGAGAUCAGUUGAGAGGCAUUGAACGAAAUACGGACGUUCAAGAGGUGCAAUAUACAUUUGACCUACAGCUUGCCCAAGAAGAUGCAAAGAAGAUGGCUGUUAAGGAAGAAAAAUAUGAUC